This is a long non-coding RNA of Symsagittifera roscoffensis, 743 nucleotides long. RefSeq lists it as uncharacterized. The transcript is spliced from 4 exons. The record is from RefSeq and is a predicted model, not a curated record. NCBI's taxonomy places the organism in Eukaryota, Metazoa, Xenacoelomorpha, Acoela, Convolutidae.
UGCAAACAGUAAAGCCAUAUAGAAAACGUACGAAUGGUUGCUCCCAAGGAAAACAUGUUUACGCACUGCUCAAUUUACCAACUGAGCUUUAAGAAAGCAGCUUCACAAUCAGCAGAAAAACUGUCUUUUUUCUCCCAGUAAAACUGAUGUCGCUGAUAACACUCUUUGGUAUUAUCAUCUCAUUGCUUAACGCCCAACUGGCGUCGGCUUCGCACGAGGGUGCUUAUUGCGAGGAAGAUCAUGACUGCUACCAGAGAUACUGGAAUCACUUUUCCUAUUCUUCAGAAUACGUGGGACUUGACUGCUGUCUGGAUGAUAAAUGUCACAAAGACUGCACAGGGGUGAUGUUUCUGUACUUUCUGUGGCGUGUUUGUCUGCCUAUUACUUGCUGUGGAGGAUUUUUAUUCGGACUAUUUGUUGUCUUCGUCACCAUUCGCAGAAGAAGAAGUGAUACUCGACCUGCAAUGCAAUCGACAGUUCCUGCCGUCCAAUACACAAUGCAAGCACCCGUGUUGCCCUCAGCACCUGGCUACUACCUCCCCAACCAAGUGCAGUACCCAAACCAGUACCAUGUACCCCCUGUCAUCACUCAUACCCCUCCACAAUACCAGCCUCCUGCUGUUCCGACAAAUGUGUGUUCAAACACAAACAUUGGAUUUGUGUUCUGAAGUGAUGUUGUGAAACUAGAAAAGAAAUGAAAAAAGUAGACAAAAUGGAACGUCUGAACAAUUAUAUAAACAGUU